Molecule: ribosomal RNA, 1434 nt
Filed under: Triticum aestivum (bread wheat)
Lineage: Eukaryota; Viridiplantae; Streptophyta; Magnoliopsida; Poales; Poaceae
Description: partial small subunit ribosomal RNA
Source: RNAcentral
AUGGAGGCUCCCAUAUCUGCAGUUGCAGGUGAACUCGUUAGCCAUUUCAUUUCCUUCCUCAUUAACAAGUAUCAGUCCUCCUUGUGUCAUGCACAAUUAGAGGAGGAAAAGGUGGCGGAGACAUUGCAGCACCUCCUGAUGAGAGUAGCCACCGUGGUCGAGGAGGCGGAUGCGCGGUACAUCACCAACACCGGGAUGAUGAUGCAGCUCAAGAUGCUCUCAGAGGCCAUGUAUGGAGGACACCGCAUGCUGGACAUCUUGAGGUACCAAGCAGUGCAAAAAAGUGUUUGCUUUGAUGAGGUUAGCAGUAAUGACCCCUCUAGCAACCGCUUCUAUUUAGCCAAGCGGUCUAGGCCAACAACUGAUAAGGUCACAUAUAUCGAGUCAUGUGGUGCCUUGGAAAUCUUAGGAAUUGCUGUUGAUAACAUGGCAAAAUUUGUUGUGCUUCUAAGUGGAUGCGAGCACAUGUCUCGUAGGCCCUAUGAUGUUUACCUUUACACUGACAACUUCAUGUUCAGCCGACACACUGAAAAGCAGAAGAUCUUGAGAUUCUUGUUGCAGCACAAUGACCCUCCUUGUUAUCAUGCACCAGUUCUUCCAGUCAUAGGUAGUGCUGCAAUUGGGAAGAAAACUUUGGUUGCUCAUGCAUGUGGCGAUGAAAGGGUCCGCUCGUGCUUCUCCUCUGUUUUGCACUUGAAAGGAGACGGGCUUUUGAAAAUACUUGACCAUGGAAGUACCAUGGAAGGGAUGAGAAUGUUGAUAGUUAUUGAGUUUGCUUUUGAUAUAGGUGAUGAUGACUGGGACAGAAGAUGCAAGAUCAUCAUCAUAAGUAGACUCCAAAGCUUAGCCAGAUUUGGAUCGGUGAAACCGAUUUUCCUAAGUGCUCUAUCUUACGAUGAGUUGAGGUACCUUUUUAAGACACUGGCAUUCGGAAGCGUUGACCCCGCACAACAUCCACUAUUAGUACAGGUAGUAGAUGAAUUCGCCAAGGUGUUGCACGGUACACCAGGUGCACUUGUGGCGACAAAUACGUUCGCAGAUGUCUUGAGAAGGAACCACAAUGUUCAAUAUUGGCGUUGUGUAUUGGACAAGAGGAAAAGAAUGGUUAAACGAAACCUCUCCAUGUAUGGUGGACACCCAAGCAUGCUUAUAGGAGAAGGACAUCUAGUGGACAUAACGGACUUUGCUUUGUAUCCACUUAGCAUGACACGUUAUACAAUUAAUGGUUCAACAAAGAAGGAAUUGCCAUGUCUGACAUUUGGGGAACUUAUAGAAGAUCGUAGUGCUAGACCAAAGCAAGACUUUGUUCUAGUUUCAUGGGAAUCAAGGAUACCCCCACAUAAUUCGUUUGCUCAUUUUGUGACUAGUCAUGCUCAGGAUACACACGAAGGUGGUGCCUUGUCAGGGAGAAAGCGUCGAGGAGUGUCAAUCUAG